Molecule: ribosomal RNA, 467 nt
Filed under: uncultured bacterium
Lineage: Bacteria
Description: partial 16S ribosomal RNA
Rfam family: Bacterial small subunit ribosomal RNA
Source: RNAcentral
GACGAACGCUGGCGGCGUGCUUAACACAUGCAAGUCGAACGGAAAGGCCCUGCUUUUGUGGGGUGCUCGAGUGGCGAACGGGUGAGUAACACGUGAGUAACCUGCCCUUGACUUUGGGAUAACUUCAGGAAACUGGGGCUAAUACCGGAUAGGAGCUCCUGCUGCAUGGUGGGGGUUGGAAAGUUUCGGCGGUUGGGGAUGGACUCGCGGCUUAUCAGCUUGUUGGUGGGGUAGUGGCUUACCAAGGCUUUGACGGGUAGCCGGCCUGAGAGGGUGACCGGCAAAAUGGGAAUGGGGAUCCGGCCAGAAUCCCACGGGGGGGCACAGGUGGGAAUUAUGCACAAAGGGGCGGAGGCCGAUUCCGCAACCGCGGGGUGGGGAAGAACGGCUUUGGGGUUGAAAACGCCUUUGGCCGGGAACAAGGCGGGGGUACGGGAAUUGGUAAAGAAGGAACGGCCUAACUACGU